Molecule: non-coding RNA, 937 nt
Filed under: Euprymna brenneri
Lineage: Eukaryota; Metazoa; Mollusca; Cephalopoda; Sepiida; Sepiolidae
Description: 12S ribosomal RNA
Rfam family: Microsporidia small subunit ribosomal RNA (bases 521-930)
Source: RNAcentral
GGUUAAUUUGGCUUUGGUUAUAAUAUAAAUUAUUAUUAAAUUAAUAUAUGUUAAAUUUAAAUAUAAAUGUUUUAUUUAUUUAUUUAUUUUGUUUAAUUUAUUUAAUAUAAAUUAAAUAUAUAAAUAUCAUUUUUAAUAUUAUAUUAUAAUGAUGAAAAUAAAUUACGCAGUAUUUAUUAUUAUACAAUGAAUGAAAGUUUGAUAUAGUUAAUGUAAUAUAAAAGUGGUUAAAUUGGUGCCAGCAUCUGCGGUUAUACUAAUACUUUAAAUUUAUAUUUAUACAGUAUAAAAUAAAGUAAAAAGGUUUAUUGUGUUUAGAUUAAUUAAGGGCAAAUAAUUGUAGGUAAAAUUUAAUAAUUGUUAUUAAUCAUAUUACUCUAAUUAUAUAUUCUUUGAAAAUAAGAAUGAAAACUAGGAUUAGAUACCCUAUUAUUCUUUAUUUUAAAAAUUUUAUUACUUAAGUAGUGUGAACAUAAUGUUAAAAUAGUAUAGAAAUUAAUUGAUUUUUUUUUUAAUGUUUGAAACUUAAAAGGCUUGGCGGUGUCAUAUAUCCUUCCAGAGGAGUUUGCUUAUUAAUUUGAUAAUCCUCAAUUUAUACUUACUUUUUUUUGAAUGAUUUUAAUAAUUAAUCAGUUUGUAUAUUGCUGUCAUCAGUUUAUUUUGUAAAGAUUAGGUAAGAAACUUAAUAAUUAAGAAGUUAUUAUGUCAAGUCAAAAUGCAGCUAAUAAAAAAGGUUUAUAAAGUGAACUACGAUUUAUAAUUUUUAAUCGGAUUAAAUUAUGUAAUUAGUUUUUGAAGUUGGAUUUGGUAGUAAUAUUAUAAUAGUGAGUUUUUAUGAAUUAGGUUUUGUGAUGCGUACAUAUCGCCCGUCGCUCUUGUUGGAAGAUAAGAUAAGUCGUAACAUAGUAGAUGUAGUGGAAACUGUUUCUGGAGUGUA